This 323-nucleotide long non-coding RNA is filed under the name Gallus gallus (chicken). Lineage: Eukaryota; Metazoa; Chordata; Aves; Galliformes; Phasianidae. The record is from RNAcentral.
GUUUUCUUCAUGGAUUGACUGGGACAGGCAGUUCCACCCCAAAUAAGCAGCUCGCUGGGUCUCAGCCUGCAAUCUCACUCAGACAGAAGACUGUGUCCUCUAGGGUGCCAGGAGGCAGCUAAAAUGUGAAGAAACCCUCGCCUGGCUUUUUCACCUGAGAUGAAAUUUAGCACCAAAGUGCAAUCCCUGAGGCAGCAGGUUUUCUGAUAUCCACUGGUGGCUGUGCAUGCUGUCUGCUUGGAGUGAAGGGAGUGUUCAUCUCACCGGAGCACCAGGAGAAAUGUAUAGGAAACAAAGAUGCACCACCAUAGGCACCUUCAUCG